Molecule: ribosomal RNA, 2164 nt
Filed under: human gut metagenome
Description: bacterial LSU rRNA
Rfam family: Bacterial large subunit ribosomal RNA
Source: RNAcentral
UCAAGCGAACAAGAGCGUAAGGUGAAUGCCUUGGCAUCAGGAGCCGAAGAAGGACGCGACAAGCUGCGAUAAGCUGCGGGGAGCUGCAAAUAAGCAUUGAUCCGCAGAUUUCCGAAUGUGGAAACACACACGGUGAAGAACCGUGUAGCGUAAACUGAAUACAUAGGUUUACGCGGGGAACCCCGGGAACUGAAACAUCUAAGUACCGGGAGGAAGAGAAAUCAACCGAGAUUCCGCGAGUAGUGGCGAGCGAAAGCGGAGGAGGCUAAACCGACAGUAGAAAUACGGUCGGGGUUCGGACUGUUGUAAGCGAGCGGAAGUUAGUCGAAUGGCAUGGGAAGGCCAGCCGGAGGGAGUGAAAGCCUCGUAGGCGAAAACGGAAGCGAGUGAACAGAAUCCAGAGUAUCAGCGGACACGAGAAAUCCGGUGAGAACGUGGGGGGACCACCCUCUAAGCCUAAAUACUACCUGAUGACCGAUAGUGGAGCAGUACUGUGAAGGAAAGGUGAAAAGAACCCCGGGAGGGGAGUGAAAGAGAACCUGAAACCUUAUGCUUACAAGCACACAGAGCCCCGUAUGCGGGUGAUGUGGUACUUUUUGUAGAACGGUCCGGCGAGUUAUGGUAUGCAGCGAGGUUAAGUGAUUCAGUCACGGAGCCGCAGGGAAACCGAGUGUGAACAGCACGUAGAGUUGCAUGUCAUAGACCCGAAACCGGGUGACCUAUCCAUGAGCAGGUUGAAGUCAGGGUAAAGCCUGAUGGAGGACCGAACCGACCCCCGUUGAAAAGUUGGCGGAUGACUUGUGGAUAGCGGAGAAAUUCCAAUCGAACCCGGAUAUAGCUGGUUCUCCCCGAAAUAGCUUUAGGGCUAGCCUCGAAUAUAUUUACCGGAGGUAAAGCACUGAAUGGUCGAGGGGUCGAGAGACUACCAACACCUAUCAAACUAAGAAUACCGGAUAAAUGAGUUCGGGAGUCAGACUACGUGAGAUAAGUCUCGUGGUCAAAAGGGAAACAGCCCAGACCCACAGCUAAGGUCCCCAAUGUAUGCUAAGUGGAAAACGAUGUGACAAUGCUAAGACAACUAGGAUGUUGGCUUAGAAGCAGCCACUCAUUCAAAGAGUGCGUAAUAGCUCACUAGUCGAGUGAUGUUGCGCGGAAAAUUCAACGGGGCUAAGCAUACAACCGAAGCUUGGGCAGUAGAGAUACUGGGUAGGGGAGCGUUCUGUACGGGCAGAAGCAUCAGCGGAAGCAGAUGUGGACUGUACAGAAGUGAGAAUGCCGGAAUGAGUAGCGAGAAUUGUGUGAGAAUCAUAAUGGCCGAAAAUCUAAGGUUUCCGGGGGUAGGGUCGUCCACCCCGGGUUAGCCGGGAGCUAAGGCGAGGCCGCGAGGCGUAGUCGAUGCACAAACGGUAGAGAUUCCGUUGCCGCCAGAUCUUAAGUAACUGACACGAGGGUAGAGUUCAACCCGGCCGAUGGUAGAGCCGGGCGAAAGGGACUGAAGAAUAGUAGGGAAGUGAACGAAGCCAGCGGCGAGAAAAGGUUAUGUAUGAAAUCAGGCGCCCGUACCGCAAACCGACACAGGUAGAUGAGGAGAGGAUCCUAAGGCCAGCGGGAGAAGGGUUGUUAAGGAACUCGGCAUAUUGACCCCGUAACUUCGGAAGAAGGGGUGCCUCCGUAAGGAGGCCGCAGUGAAAAGGCCCAGGCAACUGUUUAUCAAAAACACAGGUUUCUGCAAAAGCGAAAGCUGAAGUAUAGGAGCUGACGCCUGCCCGGUGCUGGAAGGUCAAGGGGAUCGCUUAGCGCAAGCGAAGGCGAGAACUUAAGCCCCAGUAAACGGCGGCCGUAACUAUAACGGUCCUAAGGUAGCGAAAUUCCUUGCCAGGUAAGUUCUGGCCUGCACGAAUGGCGUAAUGAUCUGGGCACUGUCUCAACAGCCCGCCCGGCGAAAUUGUAGUACCGGUGAAGAUGCCGGUUUCCUGCGACUAGACGGAAAGACCCCAUGGAGCUUUACUGUAGUCUGAUACUGAAAUUUGGUUCAUUAUGCACAGGAUAGGUGGGAGACAGAGAAACCCGGGCUUUGGCUUGGGCGGAGUCGCCGUUGGGAUACCACUCUUGAUGAACCAAGUUUCUAACCUGCUCCCGUGAUCCGGGAGGGGGACAAUGUCAG